GAUGAACGCUGGCGGCGUGCCUAAUACAUGCAAGUCGAGCGAACAGAUGAGGAGCUUGCUCCUCUGACGUUAGCGGCGGACGGGUGAGUAACACGUGGAUAACCUACCUAUAAGACUGGGAUAACUUCGGGAAACCGGAGCUAAUACCGGAUAAUAUAUUGAACCGCAUGGUUCAAUAGUGAAAGACGGUUUUGCUGUCACUUAUAGAUGGAUCCGCGCCGCAUUAGCUAGUUGGUAAGGUAACGGCUUACCAAGGCAACGAUGCGUAGCCGACCUGAGAGGGUGAUCGGCAACACUGGCACCGAGACACGGUCCAGACUCCUACGGGAGGCAGCAGUAGGGAAUCUUCCGCAAUGGGCGAAAGCCUGACGGAGCAACGCCGCGUGAGUGAUGAAGGUCUUCGGAUCGUAAAACUCUGUUAUUAGGGAAGAACAAAUGUGUAAGUAACUAUGCACGUCUUGACGGUACCUACUCAGAAAGCCACGGCUAACUACGUG
RNAcentral lists this ribosomal RNA (497 nucleotides) under uncultured bacterium. RNAcentral describes it as "partial 16S ribosomal RNA". It matches the Rfam family "Bacterial small subunit ribosomal RNA", at positions 28 to 507 of the family's 1533-position model. The record is from RNAcentral.